This 72-nucleotide transfer RNA is filed under the name Australolacerta australis. RNAcentral's name for it is "tRNA-Ser". It matches the Rfam family "tRNA". From Rfam's summary of the family: Transfer RNA (tRNA) molecules are approximately 80 nucleotides in length. Their secondary structure includes four short double-helical elements and three loops (D, anti-codon, and T loops). Lineage: Eukaryota; Metazoa; Chordata; Lepidosauria; Squamata; Lacertidae. The record is from RNAcentral.
AAGGGGAGAAACACAUAGGAAGUGUAAUUGGUUUGAAACCAGUAGGAGGGGGUUCGAGUCCUUCCUCCCUUG